AAGGUGUGGGGGAAUUCCACGUUUUCCGCGCCGUAGCUAACGCAUUAAGUCCCCCGCCNGGAGAGUGCCGCCGCAAGGCUAAAACUCAAAGGAAUUGACGGGGGCCCGCACAAGCGGCGGAGCAUGCGGAUUAAUUCGAUGCAACGCGAAGAACCUUACCAAGGCUUGACAUGAACCGGAAAGACCUGGAAACAGGUGCCCCGCUUGCGGUCGGUUUACAGGUGGUGCAUGGUUGUCGUCAGCUCGUGUCGUGAGAUGUUGGGUUAAGUCCCGCAACGAGCGCAACCCUCGUUCUAUGUUGCCAGCACGUGAUGGUGGGGACUCAUAGGAGACUGCCGGGGUCAACUCGGA
RNAcentral lists this ribosomal RNA (351 nucleotides) under Pseudarthrobacter sp. RNAcentral describes it as "bacterial SSU rRNA". It matches the Rfam family "Bacterial small subunit ribosomal RNA", at positions 817 to 1167 of the family's 1533-position model. The record is from RNAcentral. Lineage: Bacteria; Bacillati; Actinomycetota; Actinomycetes; Micrococcales; Micrococcaceae.